This 385-nucleotide long non-coding RNA is filed under the name Salvia miltiorrhiza (redroot sage). Its description in RNAcentral is "long non-coding RNA (SMIL_LNC000443)". Lineage: Eukaryota; Viridiplantae; Streptophyta; Magnoliopsida; Lamiales; Lamiaceae. The record is from RNAcentral.
GGUAGAUGUACUAGUUUGUUUUAAAUAACCAGUCGCGUAGCCUCUUUUGCUUUAGUUCUCAUCUCAGCCCUAAUUCGCAAAUUCCUCCAAAAUCCCCAAAUCGCCUCCUACAGCAACGCCGCCCGUCACCGCUCGUCUGCCGGUGAGCACGCCGCCGCCUGCAUCCCCUCGGCCGGCCGUUCCUCCUGCAGCUUCUCCGCCGCCGCCUGCAACCCCUCCGCCGGCCGAACCUGCUCCAGCUUCUCCGCCGCCGACUGCAACCCGCAACCCCUCCGCCGGCCGAACCUCGUCCAGCUUCUCCGCCUCCGCCUGUGCUUUCCCCGCUCCCACCGGUUGCACCUACGCCGGCUCCGGUUGCUUCCUCCGUCAUAGAAAUCAGGUCCGU